GAAAUGCUGAAUACAACAGGUGUAGUAGACCUCACAGUGAAAUGAUGAAUACAACAGGUGUAGUAGACCUCACAGUGAAAUGCUGAAUACAACAGGUGUAGUAGACCUCACAGUGAAAUGAUGAAUACAACAGGUGUAGUAGACCUCACAGUGAAAUGCUGAAUACAACAGGUGUAGUAGACCUCACAGUGAAAUGCUGAAUACAACAGGUGUAGUAGACCUUACAGUGAAAUGCUGAAUACAACAGGUGUAGUAGACCUCACAGUGAAAUGCUGAAUACAACAGGUGUAGUAGACCUCACAGUGAAAUGCUGAAUACAACAGGUGUAGUAGACCUUACAGUGAAAUGCUGAAUACAACAGGUGUAGUAGACCUUACAGUGAAAUGCUGAAUACAACAGGUGUAGUAGACCUUACAGUGAAAUGCUGAAUACAACAGGUGUAGUUGACCUUACAGUGAAAUGCUGAAUACAACAGGUGUAGUAGACCUUACAGUGAAAUGCUGAAUACAACAGGUGUAGUAGACCUUACAGUGAAAUGCUGAAUACAACAGGUGUAGUAGACCUUACAGUGAAAUGCUGAAUACAACAGGUGUAGUAGACCUUACAGUGAAAUGCUGAAUACAACAGGUGUAGUAGACCUUACAGUGAAAUGCUGAAUACAACAGGUGUAGUAGACCUUACAGUGAAAUGCUGAAUACAACAGGUGUAGUAGACCUUACAGUGAAAUGCUGAAUACAACAGGUGUAGUAGACCUUACAGUGAAAUGCUGAAUACAACAGGUGUAGUAGACCUCACAGUGAAAUGCUGAAUACAACAGGUGUAGUAGACCUCACAGUGAAAUGAUGAAUACAACAGGUGUAGUAGACCUCACAGUGAAAUGCUGAAUACAACAGGUGUAGUAGACCUCACAGUGAAAUGAUGAAUACAACAGGUGUAGUAGACCUCACAGUGAAAUGCUGAAUACAACAGGUGUAGUAGACCUCACAGUGAAAUGCUGAAUACAACAGGUGUAGUAGACCUCACAGUGAAAUGCUGAAUACAACAGGUGUAGUGGACCUUACAGUGAAAU
Oncorhynchus keta (chum salmon) is the source of this 1069-nucleotide long non-coding RNA. RefSeq lists it as uncharacterized. NCBI's taxonomy places the organism in Eukaryota, Metazoa, Chordata, Actinopteri, Salmoniformes, Salmonidae. The record is from RefSeq and is a predicted model, not a curated record. The transcript is spliced from 5 exons.